GGUGAACGCUAGCUACAGGCUUAACACAUGCAAGUCGAGGGGCAGCAUGGUCUUAGCUUGCUAAGACUGAUGGCGACCGGCGCACGGGUGAGUAACACGUAUCCAACCUGCCGUCUACUCUUGGACAGCCUUCUGAAAGGAAGAUUAAUACAAGAUGGCAUCAUGAGUCCGCAUGUUCACAUGAUUAAAGGUAUUCCGGUAGACGAUGGGGAUGCGUUCCAUUAGAUAGUAGGCGGGGUAACGGCCCACCUAGUCUUCGAUGGAUAGGGGUUCUGAGAGGAAGGUCCCCCACAUUGGAACUGAGACACGGUCCAAACUCCUACGGGAGGCAGCAGUGAGGAAUAUUGGUCAAUGGGCGAGAGCCUGAACCAGCCAAGUAGCGUGAAGGAUGACUGCCCUAUGGGUUGUAAACUUCUUUUAUAAAGGAAUAAAGUCGGGUAUGGAUACCCGUUUGCAUGUAC
RNAcentral lists this ribosomal RNA (461 nucleotides) under uncultured bacterium. RNAcentral describes it as "bacterial SSU rRNA". It matches the Rfam family "Bacterial small subunit ribosomal RNA", at positions 28 to 478 of the family's 1533-position model. The record is from RNAcentral.